This 76-nucleotide transfer RNA is filed under the name Candidatus Peregrinibacteria bacterium. RNAcentral's name for it is "tRNA-Ala". It matches the Rfam family "tRNA". From Rfam's summary of the family: Transfer RNA (tRNA) molecules are approximately 80 nucleotides in length. Their secondary structure includes four short double-helical elements and three loops (D, anti-codon, and T loops). Further hydrogen bonds mediate the characteristic L-shaped molecular structure. tRNAs have two regions of fundamental functional importance: the anti-codon, which is responsible for specific mRNA codon recognition, and the 3' end, to which the tRNAs corresponding amino acid is attached (by aminoacyl-tRNA synthetases). tRNAs cope with the degeneracy of the genetic code in two manners: having more than one tRNA (with a specific anti-codon) for a particular amino acid; and 'wobble' base-pairing, i.e. permitting non-standard base-pairing at the 3rd anti-codon position. The record is from RNAcentral. Lineage: Bacteria; Candidatus Peregrinibacteriota.
GGGGCUGUAGCUCAUUUGGUAGAGCGCCGCGUUUGCACCGCGGAGGCGAGGGGUUCGAGCCCCCUCAGCUCCACCA